AGGAUUAUCAAGUUGACAUUGUAUCUACAAAUUAAUGAAGAAUGAUGAUAGUGUUUGUGAUACUGAUCUACUUCAAUGGCCUCCUUGUUAGCUCUGAGGGCAACUACCUUCCUUUCCUAAACCCUACUGACUAUUCAAUACUGAAUGGCUAUGAUGAUUAUGCAAUAAAUGUGUCAUUUCCCUCACUAAUAAGAUUCGGAUCAUCAUGCUAUACUGAUGCAUGGAUAAGUACUAAUGGAUUGAUUAGCUUGGGAACUAGAUACACAAAUCAUGAUCCAAAUCUCUUCCCUAUUUCUAUUCCAGUCAUUGCUCCAUAUUGGGAUGACAGUGACUUAACUGGAAGAGGUGAAGUACGUUAUGCUGUUAUAACUCCAGCAACUAAUCUUUCAUUGUGCAAUCAAGUCAAUGAUUACUUAUCUACUUCAACUGGUAGCAGUGUAUCUGUUGAAUGGAUACUGUGGGCCUACUGGUAUGAUGUAUGUCCAUAUGGUAAUUAUAAUUGCAGGAGUAUUGAGUCCAAUCAUUUCCAGGUUGUAUUAGCUUUUCAAAGUAAUGCCACAUAUGCUGUAUUUAUAUACAAGUAUGGACUCAUACGAUGGACAAGGAAUGAGGCUGGUGUUGGUAUCAAUAGUGGUGAUGGGUACUAUAUCAAUCAUCCAUUAUCUAACACUGAUGAUGUUAUUAACAUAGACUGUAAUAAUGUAGUAUCAAGAUGGAAUAAUGUUGUAUACAGAUUAGAUCAAGGGCAGCACCAAGUUAUAGACAAAUUUGAAUUCCUAUCCAUUACAUCUCACAGUAUUACAGUAUCAUGGGAACUAAGUAUACCAGCUAUUAGCAGUACACUUAUUCUGAGUGUUACUGAUGAUCAACAAACAGUUAAUGAUAAAAUCAAUGUAGCUGGAUAUGAUAGCCAUACAUACAGUUAUAGUAAAGAUGAUUAUCUUUGCAAUGUAUAUACAUUCAAACUGACACUACCAGCAACAACAAAAGGAUGCAACAAUGACAAUAAACUUUUAUCUACAGCAAUGACUCCAAUACCUCAAAAUAUUUCUGCAUUAUACCUCUUUCAAGAAACUUUAAUAAUAAAAUUAAAGAUGAAUUGGUGCCAUAAAAAUGAAAUAUAUAUAGAGCUACUCUUGUCUGUAAAUAAGACUUUUAAUGUAUCAAAGUCCUUGCACAUUAAUAAUCUUCAUCAAUUUUACACUACCAAAUGGAAUAUAAAACUGAACAGACACUCUCUAUAUUACUUAACAGUAACAGCAAUUGGUAUGUAUAAAACUAAUACUUCUAAUGCAACAGAAAUAAGGAUAUAAUAAUAAAGAGGAACGAAGACAUUUCCUGUUUUAUUUGUGUGACUGAAAUUUUCAAUAACUGUCAAGUAUUGGUAGCAUCAGCCAGAACAACACUGAUACCAUAAUCAACACAAACUAAUGGAACAUGUUACUCAUUUACUGAUAAUGGAACAUACACUGUAUAUGCACAUGAUAUUGAGAAUGGACUAAUAAUACUGACACCAGCAGUAGUUAUACAAUAUACAGUGGACUGGAUUGAACCAUCAGGCACAGGUUAGCCAUUAAAAAUGCAAUUAUAUUACUAUUCUAGAAGUGAGGGACCAAUCACACAUAACUCUAAUCCUUGGAAGCUAUCUUGGAUUCUCAGCAUUUGCAAAUCUCAUUUUACUCAUAGCAAUGGCAGUACUACUAAGAAACAAAUGUAGAAAAAAGCCUCAAAGCUCUGUACCUCAUAAUCCAAAACCUGUCAAAACUGAAGUAAAUUCAGCAUAUGAAAUGAUGCAAAGGAGAAGCAAUGAAAUACAAACAAGCAACGAAAUACAAAUAUCUCAAAAUGAUACUACUAAUGUUGAUGAUGCUCGUGUAUCCCCAAUAUAUGAUGCUAUACCACAAGAAAUCCCACCUGAGCCAGAAUCAACAACUACACAUGAAAUACCAAGCUCCAAUGUGAAUCAGAACAUUUAACAAACACACAAUGUGUCAUAAUUUUUAAGCAUUUUGCCUUUUAGCAAUGCUAAUAUUGUUUCUUAAUCUCA
RNAcentral lists this unclassified non-coding RNA (2047 nucleotides) under Amphimedon queenslandica. RNAcentral's name for it is "uncharacterized LOC109580188, transcript variant X2". Lineage: Eukaryota; Metazoa; Porifera; Demospongiae; Haplosclerida; Niphatidae. The record is from RNAcentral.